AUUCCGGUUGAUCCUGCCGGAGGCCAUUGCUAUCGGAGUCCGACUUAGCCAUGCUAGUUGCGCGAGUUCAGACUCGCAGCAGAUAGCUCAGUAACACGUGGCCAAGCUACCCUGCAGACAC
This 121-nucleotide ribosomal RNA is filed under the name Halogeometricum luteum. RNAcentral's name for it is "Halogeometricum sp. S3BR5-2 partial 16S ribosomal RNA". It matches the Rfam family "Archaeal small subunit ribosomal RNA", at positions 1 to 123 of the family's 1478-position model. Lineage: Archaea; Methanobacteriati; Methanobacteriota; Halobacteria; Halobacteriales; Haloferacaceae. The record is from RNAcentral.